Molecule: ribosomal RNA, 509 nt
Filed under: uncultured bacterium
Lineage: Bacteria
Description: partial 16S ribosomal RNA
Rfam family: Bacterial small subunit ribosomal RNA
Source: RNAcentral
GACGAACGCUGGCGGCGCGCUUAACACAUGCAAGUCGAGCGAGAUCCAGGCCUUCGGGCCUGGGGACAGGGGCGAACGGGUGAGUAACACGUGGGUAAUCAACCCUCGACACUGGGAGAGCCUGGGGAAACCCGGAUUAAUCCCGGAUGGCCCUUUGGAUCUUCGGAUCUGACGGGAAAGGUAGCUUCGGCCCCCGGUCGAGGUCGAGCCCGCGGCGGAUGAGCUAGUUGGUGGGGUAACGGCGCUCCAAGGCGACGAUCCGUAGCUGGUCUGAGAGGACGAUCAGCCAAACUGGAACGGGGACACGGCCCAGACUCCUACGGGAGGCAGCAGUGGGGAAUAUUGCGCUAAUGCGGGAAACCGGAACGCGGCGACGCGGCGGGAUGAAGGAAGGCCUUCGGGUUGAAAACCUCUUUCAGGAGGGACGAAGCCACACGGUUAAAUAGCCCAGAGGGUGACGGUACCUCCAGAAGAAGCCCCGGCUAACUACGUGCCAGCCGCCGCGGUAA